This 348-nucleotide ribosomal RNA is filed under the name Triticum aestivum (bread wheat). Its description in RNAcentral is "partial small subunit ribosomal RNA". Lineage: Eukaryota; Viridiplantae; Streptophyta; Magnoliopsida; Poales; Poaceae. The record is from RNAcentral.
AUGGUCUUGGUAUCAUAUCUACACUAUAUUUUCCUAUUGUGUGAAGGUGCAAGACUGCAAAUUGAGAUAUUAGAGGGGACUGACGAGCAGGCGCCUAAUACCAUGAGGAGCAUGGGCGCCAUGCUCUUUAUCACCACCAUAGGUCUCGGGGACUAUGGGAGCACCCUGCGGAUGUCAAUCAUCACACGUGCGAUGACGAGGCACGGCACCCUCGGGUCGGCCAUGCACCAUCUCUGCGUUGGCCACCUUGACUGUUAUUUCUGGCAGCUUGCAUGUAUUAGUCUCAUUCAUGCGCAUUGCGAGUCGGUAUACCUACUGCAGGACUCAAGGCGCAAUGGUGAGCAGUAA